CGCGAUCACAUUACCUUAUGAUACUCAGCAAUUACAUAAAGCAACAAGAGAUACAGCGGCCAUUUAUUUAGCAUGUGGUGUAGAUACCUCCAAGGCUUCUGUCUUUGUUCAGUCUCAUGUUCGUGCUCAUGUAGAGCUGAUGUGGCUACUUAGUUCAGCCACGCCAAUUGGUUGGCUGAACAGGAUGAUCCAGUUUAAGGAGAAAUCACGCAAGGCGGGGGAUGAAAAUGUUG
RNAcentral lists this unclassified non-coding RNA (233 nucleotides) under Hevea brasiliensis (rubber tree). The record is from RNAcentral. Lineage: Eukaryota; Viridiplantae; Streptophyta; Magnoliopsida; Malpighiales; Euphorbiaceae.